GACGAACGCUGGCGGCGUGCUUAACACAUGCAAGUCGAACGGAAAGGCCCUGCUUUUGUGGGGUGCUCGAGUGGCGAACGGGUGAGUAACACGUGAGUAACCUGCCCUUGACUUUGGGAUAACUUCAGGAAACUGGGGCUAAUACCGGAUAGGAGCUCCUGCUGCAUGGUGGGGGUUGGAAAGUUUCGGCGGUUGGGGAUGGACUCGCGGCUUAUCAGCUUGUUGGUGGGGUAGUGGCUUACCAAGGCUUUGACGGGUAGCCGGCCUGAGAGGGUGACCGGCCACAUUGGGACUGAGAUACGGCCCAGACUCCUACGGGAGGCAGCAGUGGGGAAUAUUGCACAAUGGGCGGAAGCCUGAUGCAGCAACGCCGCGUGCGGGAUGACGGCCUUCGGGUUGUAAACCGCUUUCGCCUGUGACGAAGCGUGAGUGACGGUAAUGGGUAAAGAAGCACCGGCUAACUACGUGCCAGCAGCCGCGGUGAUACGUAGGGUGCGAGCGUUGUCCGGAUUUAUUGGGCGUAAAGGGCUCGUAGGUGGUUGAUCGCGUCGGAAGUGUAAUCUUGGGGCUUAACCCUGAGCGUGCUUUCGAUACGGGUUGACUUGAGGAAGGUAGGGGAGAAUGGAAUUCCUGGUGGAGCGGUGGAAUGCGCAGAUAUCAGGAGGAACACCAGUGGCGAAGGCGGUUCUCUGGGCCUUUCCUGACGCUGAGGAGCGAAAGCGUGGGGAGCGAACAGGCUUAGAUACCCUGGUAGUCUACGCUGUAAACGGUGGGUACUAGGUGUGGGGUCCGUUCCACGGGUUCCGUGCCGUAGCUAACGCUUUAAGUACCCCGCCUGGGGAGUACGGCCGCAAGGCUAAAACUCAAAGGAAUUGACGGGGCCCCGCACAAGCGGCGGAGCAUGCGGAUUAAUUCGAUGCAACGCGUAGAACCUUACCUGGGUUUGACAUGGAUCGGGAGUGCUCAGAGAUGGGUGUGCCUCUUUUGGGGUCGGUUCACAGGUGGUGCAUGGCUGUCGUCAGCUCGUGUCGUGAGAUGUUGGGUUAAGUCCCGCAACGAGCGCAACCCUUGUUCACUGUUGCCAGCACGUUAUGGUGGGGACUCAGUGGAGACCGCCGGGGUCAACUCGGAGGAAGGUGGGGAUGACGUCAAGUCAUCAUGCCCCUUAUGUCCAGGGCUUCACGCAUGCUACAAUGGCUGGUACAGAGAGUGGCGAGCCUGUGAGGGUGAGCGAAUCUCGGAAAGCCGGUCUCAGUUCGGAUUGGGGUCUGCAACUCGACCUCAUGAAGUCGGAGUCGCUAGUAAUCGCAGAUCAGCAACGCUGCGGUGAAUACGUUCCCGGGGCU
This 1346-nucleotide ribosomal RNA is filed under the name uncultured bacterium. RNAcentral describes it as "partial 16S ribosomal RNA". It matches the Rfam family "Bacterial small subunit ribosomal RNA", at positions 28 to 1381 of the family's 1533-position model. The record is from RNAcentral.